Molecule: ribosomal RNA, 501 nt
Filed under: uncultured bacterium
Lineage: Bacteria
Description: bacterial SSU rRNA
Rfam family: Bacterial small subunit ribosomal RNA
Source: RNAcentral
CAGUCUAUGUUCCAUCAGCUUGUUGGUGAGGUAAUGGCUCACCAAGGCUAUGACGGAUAUCUGGUUUGAGAGGAUGAUCAGACACACUGGAACUGAGACACGGUCCAGACUCCUACGGGAGGCAGCAGUGAGGAAUAUUGCACAAUGGAGGAAACUCUGAUGCAGCAACGCCGCGUGGAGGAUGACGCAUUUCGGUGUGUAAACUCCUUUUAUUAGGGAAGAUAAUGACGGUACCUAAUGAAUAAGCACCGGCUAACUCCGUGCCAGCAGCCGCGGUAAUACGGAGGGUGCAAGCGUUACUCGGAAUCACUGGGCGUAAAGGGUGCGUAGGCUGGCUUUUAAGUCAGAUGUGAAAUCCAAUGGCUCAACCAUUGAACUGCAUUUGAAACUGAAAGCCUAGAGUUCAGAAGGGGCAGAUGGAAUUAGUGGUGUAGGGGUAAAAUCCGUAGAUAUCACUAGGAAUAUCAAAAGCGAAGGCGAUCUGCUGGGAUGAUACUGACG